RNAcentral lists this long non-coding RNA (217 nucleotides) under Brassica rapa (field mustard). RNAcentral describes it as "long non-coding RNA (BRAP_LNC004524)". Lineage: Eukaryota; Viridiplantae; Streptophyta; Magnoliopsida; Brassicales; Brassicaceae. The record is from RNAcentral.
AAAAAUAAAAAAAAUAAAAAAAAAUAAAUAAUUUUUUUUGUUUUAGAAUUAUACUUUUUCAUAUUCGAACUUUUUUAUAAAAAAAUUUUUCGAAUUUUUUUUUUAUUUUUUUUUCAAAUUUCUUUUUGAAAAACGAUAAUUAUAUUUGAAACCAUUUUUUAAAAUUUUUUAUAUAUUUUUUAAGUAUUUAUAUAUUUAUUAGAAUCAUAAAUUUCAC